UCGGGAAUAUUGCGCAAUGGAGGAAACUCUGACGCAGUGACGCCGCGUAUAGGAAGAAGGUCUUCGGAUUGUAAACUAUUGUCGUUAGGGAAGAAAAAGGACAGUACCUAAGGAGGAAGCUCCGGCUAACUACGUGCCAGCAGCCGCGGUAAUACGUAGGGAGCAAGCGUUAUCCGGAUUUAUUGGGUGUAAAGGGUGCGUAGACGGGUUAAUAAGUUAGUUGUGAAAUCCCUCGGCUCAACUGAGGAACUGCAACUAAAACUGUUAGUCUUGAGUGUUGGAGAGGAAAGCGGAAUUCCUAGUGUAGCGGUGAAAUGCGUAGAUAUUAGGAGGAACACCAGUGGCGAAGGCGGCUUUCUGGACAAUAACUGACGUUGAGGCACGAAAGUGUGGGGAGCAAACAGG
This 405-nucleotide ribosomal RNA is filed under the name uncultured bacterium. RNAcentral's name for it is "bacterial SSU rRNA". It matches the Rfam family "Bacterial small subunit ribosomal RNA", at positions 355 to 776 of the family's 1533-position model. The record is from RNAcentral.